RNAcentral lists this ribosomal RNA (406 nucleotides) under uncultured prokaryote. Its description in RNAcentral is "bacterial SSU rRNA". It matches the Rfam family "Bacterial small subunit ribosomal RNA", at positions 355 to 776 of the family's 1533-position model. The record is from RNAcentral. RNAcentral also lists the same sequence under 1 other name.
UGGGGGAUACUUGGCAAUGGGGGAAACCCUUACCCAGCAACGCCGCGUGAGGGAAGAAGGUUUUCGGAUUGUAAACCUCUGUCCUUGGUGAAGAGGAAGAGACGGUACCUGAGGAGGCAGCCCCGGCUAACUACGUGCCAGCAGCCGCGGUAAUACGUAGGGGGCGAGCGUUGUCCGGAAUGACUGGGCGUAAAGGGCGCGUAGACGGUUUUUUAAGUCUGGAGUGAAAGUCCUGCUUUCAAGGUGGGAAUUGCUUUGGAGACUGGGGGACUUGAGUGCGGAAGAGGUAAGUGGAAUUCCCAGUGUAGCGGUGAAAUGCGUAGAGAUUGGGAAGAACACCAGUGGCGAAGGCGACUUACUGGGCCGUAACUGACGUUGAUGCGCGAAAGCGUGGGGAGCGAACAGG